CCUACGGGAGACAGCAGUGAGGACUAUUGGUCAAUGGCCGUAAGGCUGAACCAGCCAAGUAGCGUGAGGGAAGACUGCCCUAUGGGUUGUCAACCUCUUUUAUGCGGGGAUAAAGGUGUCCACGUGUGGAUGUUUGCAGGUACCGCAUGAAUAAGGACCGGCUAAUUCCGUGCCAGCAGCCGCGGUAAUACGGAAGGUCCGGGCGUUAUCCGGAUUUAUUGGGUUUAAAGGGAGCGUAGGCCGGUCUUUAAGCGUUCCGUGAACUUUUGUGGCUCAACCAUGAGAGUGCGGCGCGAACUGGAUACCUUGAGUGCGCGGAAGGCAGGCGGAAUUCGUGGUGUAGCGGUGAAAUGCUUAGAUAUCACGAAGAACCCCGAUUGCGAAGGCAGCCUGCCGCAGCGUUACUGACGCUGAAGCUCGAAAGCGCGGGUAUCGAACAGGAUUAGAUACCCUUGUAGUC
Molecule: ribosomal RNA, 460 nt
Filed under: uncultured bacterium
Lineage: Bacteria
Description: partial 16S ribosomal RNA
Rfam family: Bacterial small subunit ribosomal RNA
Source: RNAcentral